This is a long non-coding RNA of Syngnathoides biaculeatus (alligator pipefish), 440 nucleotides long. RefSeq lists it as uncharacterized. Lineage: Eukaryota; Metazoa; Chordata; Actinopteri; Syngnathiformes; Syngnathidae. The record is from RefSeq and is a predicted model, not a curated record. The transcript is spliced from 4 exons.
GAACGUACCCGCGUCUACCGGCGCUUGAAAAUGACGUCACAGUUGUUAUAAAUACAGCCCUCCUGUGUCGUCACAUCCUCUUUCCAUUGCCCUUUUCGUUGCGAGACUCUUCUCCACACGAUGAGAGCUAAGUGGAGGAAGAAGCGCAUGCGCAGGCUGAAGCGUAAAAGGAGAAAGAUGAGGCAGAGGUCAAAGUAAAUCAUCGGGCCAGCCGCAACCUUGUCGGACUUUCUUGUAGGGCUGAAUCGGAUGCACUGGGCCACCUCCAACUCGGCCUCUGACGGCCGUGCGCCUCGUCCGACUUCCUGUGAACGUCUCCAAGAUGGCACCGGGCGGAGCUGCUGCAGCCUUUUUUGGUUCAUGGACCAUGAAACGUCUUGUUGAUCUGGCAACUGUCAUGUGGUGUAUUGAACAAUAAAUGAACACUGUUCCAAACUUUA